GAUGAACGCUAGCGGCAGGCUUAACACAUGCAAGUCGAGGGGCAACACGGGUAGCAAUACCUGGUGGCGACCGGCGCAAGGGUGCGUAACGCGUGAGCAACAUGCCCUAUACAGGGGGAUAAUCCAGGGAAACUUGGUCUAAUAUCCCAUAGUAUUUAGAGGUGGCAUCACCACUAAAUUAAAGCUUCGGUGGUAUAGGAUUGGCUCGCGUGACAUUAGCUGGAUGGUGGGGUAACGGCUCACCAUGGCGAUGAUGUCUAGGGGUUCUGAGAGGAAGACCCCCCACACUGGGACUGAGACACGGCCCAGACUCCUACGGGAGGCAGCAGUGAGGAAUAUUGGACAAUGGAUGGAAAUCUGAUCCAGCCAUGCCGCGUGCAGGAAGACGGCCCUAUGGGUUGUAAACUGUCUUUUAUAGUGGGAGCAAUAAGGUUUACGCGUAGACCGAUGAGAGUACCAUAUGAAUAAGCAUCGGCUAACUCCGUG
Molecule: ribosomal RNA, 486 nt
Filed under: uncultured bacterium
Lineage: Bacteria
Description: bacterial SSU rRNA
Rfam family: Bacterial small subunit ribosomal RNA
Source: RNAcentral